AUCCUCGAGGGGCGUUGCGACAAGACGCUAGUCUUGCCAGGCUCGGGGCAUGGAUAGGUGGUAUCCACCUUGGAGAACGACGCUCACCACGA
Molecule: non-coding RNA, 92 nt
Organism: Steinernema glaseri
Lineage: Eukaryota; Metazoa; Nematoda; Chromadorea; Rhabditida; Steinernematidae
Source: Rfam